Non-coding RNA from Onthophagus taurus, 387 nucleotides. Lineage: Eukaryota; Metazoa; Arthropoda; Insecta; Coleoptera; Scarabaeidae. The record is from RefSeq and is a predicted model, not a curated record.
CUAUUAGGCUGUGAAAUCCUUCGUACUUAUAGAUUAAUUUUAAAAACUAAUCUUUUAUUUAAGUUAAAAGAAAUAAAAAUAAAGAAUACAACUCAGCUGAAAGAGAUUGGCAAUUGAUUAGAAGGGGUCGUUAUGUAGAAUUCAAUUUGAUUUAUGAUCGUGGUACAAAAUUUGGAUUAUACACACCUGGUGCUAGGUUUGAAAGUAUUUUGAUGUCUCUACCAUUAACAGCGAAAUGGGAAUACAUGAAUAAACCAGCGGAUAAAUCCCGUGAAGCACAACUUUUAGAAGUAUUAAGAAACCCCAAGGAUUGGAUUUAAACAAAAAUAAUUGUUAAUACCUCAUAUAUUGUAUUUUAUAUAAAUUUUAUUUGGAGAAAAAUUAAAA